Molecule: long non-coding RNA, 750 nt
Filed under: Helianthus annuus (common sunflower)
Lineage: Eukaryota; Viridiplantae; Streptophyta; Magnoliopsida; Asterales; Asteraceae
Source: RNAcentral
UGAACUUGUUCGAAAAUCAUCAUCAACCAACCGAUAAAUUUUAAUUCGGACUUCUGUUUGCCGACAACAUUAACCCACUCUGCUGCUGCUAAUAGUGCCACAAUCUGCAGUUUCAGCCUAUGUUCUGAGUGAAACAGGGUCGUGAUCGUUUCAUCGCAACACACCAACACCAUGUCUCUACGUAUCAAUUAUCAGAACAAUUUUAGAUCGAUUGGAAGUUAGGGUUUUGUUUCUAGCACUUACCAUCAUUAUCAGAUGCUUUAUAUAAUCUAAGCAUUUGAGACGGGAGGUGGUAGUGAAACCGACUACAAUGAUUGCCAAGAAGUCGAACCGAUGAAGCAUUCAAUCUGGAAUUGAUUUGCCGGUGCUGUAUGGAAUGAGAAUUGAAUUGCCAAUGAGGAAUGAUCGCCCUUUGGAAAAAAUGGCAACUAUUUAGUAAGGGAUGAGACUUUUCUCUGCUGGAUGUUCAUGAAGGAAAUCCACUGCCUAGCCAUCAAGCGGGAAUUCGAUAUUCAAUAUUUCUGAUCAUUGCUGAGCAUAUUGUCUUUACCUUUUUACGAUAUUGCAGCUUUGACGAAGCUUGAGCUCAUUAAUCGCCCAAACUUCGAAGGAGCUACAUUGUUCGCACGCAAGAUUAAGAUGAACAAAAACUCAGGCUGGAAAGACGAGUCAUACAAGCCUCAGUUCCCUAUCUAUCAGCAGAUCAAGUUCACUUUAGAUCCAGCGACCAACAUGGUGCGCUACAAGCUU